This 255-nucleotide ribosomal RNA is filed under the name uncultured bacterium. Its description in RNAcentral is "partial 16S ribosomal RNA". It matches the Rfam family "Bacterial small subunit ribosomal RNA", at positions 99 to 354 of the family's 1533-position model. The record is from RNAcentral.
CGGACGGGUGAGUAACGCGUGGAAAACCUGCCGUAUACUGGGGGAUAAUACUUAGAAAUAGGUGCUAAUACCGCAUAAGCGCACAGCUUCGCAUGAAGCGGUGUGAAAAACUCUGGUGGUAUACGAUGGUUCCGCGUCUGAUUAGCUAGUUGGUGGGGUAAUGGCCUACCAAGGCAACGAUCAGUAGCCGGCCUGAGAGGGUGAACGGCCACAUUGGGACUGAGACACGGCCCAAACUCCUACGGGAGGCAGCAG